Molecule: ribosomal RNA, 130 nt
Filed under: Hirtodrosophila pictiventris
Lineage: Eukaryota; Metazoa; Arthropoda; Insecta; Diptera; Drosophilidae
Description: partial 28S ribosomal RNA
Source: RNAcentral
UUAAGAAGGACUUAAAGGGUUAAUUUCUCAUACUAGAAUAUUGAUGUUCCAUACACUGCAUGUCACGUUUGCCAUAUAGACAAAGUGGUUAGCGCUGAACUGAUUUCUUUUGGGCUCGCCGCUAACGGGU